Molecule: unclassified non-coding RNA, 343 nt
Filed under: soil metagenome
Description: partial contains 5.8S ribosomal RNA, internal transcribed spacer 2, and large subunit ribosomal RNA
Rfam family: 5.8S ribosomal RNA (bases 1-120)
Source: RNAcentral
GAUGAAGAACGUAGCGAAACGCGAUAGGUAAUGUGAAUUGCAGAAUUCCGUGAAUCAUCGAAUCUUUGAACGCACAUUGCGCCCGCUAGUAUUCUGGCGGGCAUGCCUGUCCGAGCGUCAUUUCAACCCUCAAGCCCCCGGGCUUGGUGUUGGGGAUCGGCGAGCCUCCGCGCCCGCCGUCCCCUAAAUCUAGUGGCGGUCUCGCUGUAGCUUCCUCUGCGUAGUAGCACACCUCGCACUGGGAAACAGCGCGGCCACGCCGUUAAACCCCCAACUUCUGAACGUUUGACCUCGGAUCAGGUAGGAAUACCCGCUGAACUUAAGCAUAUCAAUAAGCGGAGGA